RNAcentral lists this unclassified non-coding RNA (262 nucleotides) under Hevea brasiliensis (rubber tree). Lineage: Eukaryota; Viridiplantae; Streptophyta; Magnoliopsida; Malpighiales; Euphorbiaceae. The record is from RNAcentral.
GUUCACCACUUCAAACCUUGAAACAGAACCCAAUGUCUAUUUACACUUACAUAUAAAAACUAUUGCAGAAAACCAAAGAUGAAAUUGUUAUAAAAUCAAAAAUUAUGAUGACAAGCACAACAAAAGUUUAUGUGCAGCUUGAUCCAUAAAGAGAGCUAGAAGCACUGCUGUAUAUAACAGCAGCUGAAACAUGAAAAGUGGCCAAAUAAGCACAAAAUGAAAUUUAACAAAGCCAGCUCAACACCAUGAAAGCAAUAUUUCU